Long non-coding RNA from Camelus dromedarius (Arabian camel), 801 nucleotides. RefSeq lists it as uncharacterized. The record is from RefSeq and is a predicted model, not a curated record. The transcript has 3 exons. Lineage: Eukaryota; Metazoa; Chordata; Mammalia; Artiodactyla; Camelidae.
CCGUGGUAAUUGGACACUGAAGUCUGGCUUUCAGUGUUCUCACUACUUUUUAUUAUUCCUAGUGCCUGGUCUCCACCCUUCCACUGACACGAAACGCCUUCUCUUCUCUCCACUCUGAAGACAGUGGAUGGGAAUGUCCGUUGGUUCAAACCCAUCUUUCCUGAGGCUUUACAUGCCCCCCACCCCCAGAUUCUGGUCCUCGUCACCUCGUGCAGUGUCUGCUGGAACAACACAGUGACUGUGUGCUUACUGUGUGCGCAGGUUUCCACCCGCCCGCCGCCUGCCUGCCCCGCUGGGCCCGGGCCACUGGACUGUGGGCUUGCUGACUGCAUCCUGCUGGCACCGGUCACCAUGUUCCGCUGUCACCGGGACUUCCUGGCGAGGCGCAGCAGAAACCAGAGGCUCAAUCCGACUUGGAUGUGGUCCCCUUGGCGAGGCAGCUGCUUCUAGAGGCUCCCGCGGUCCUUGGCUUGCGGCCCUUCCUCCAUCUGCGAAGCCCAAGGCACAGCCUCUCCCUCCGACUGCCACCCCCGCUGCCUCUCUUACAAGGCUUCUGUGAUGACAUCGGGCCACCCAGGUGUUGACGGAAAAUAAUGUCCAACCUAGAAGCUGAGCACUGUAUCUUCUUUGGUGGACUUUCUGAGGACUCGAGCCUGGGAGGUGGCCUCUCAGAUUGAUCGCUCCGGGAGACUGCCACAGAGGAGCCAGGACACACAGGAGUUUUACUGCCAAGACCAGGUAGUCGCAACAUCAAAAGACGGCUGUUAAUUAAAGAAAACCAGACGCCUCAAAUUAAGGAAU